CCUACGGGUGGCAGCAGUGGGGAAUAUUGCACAAUGGGGGAAACCCUGAUGCAGCGACGCCGCGUGAGUGAAGAAGAAUCUCGGUAUGUAAAGCUCUAUCAGCCGGGAAGAAAAUGACGGUACCUGACUAAAGCCCCGGCUAACUACGGGCCAGCAGCCGCGGUAAUACGUAGGGGGCAAGUGUUAUCCGGAUUUACUGGGGGUAAAGGGAGCGUAGACGGGAGCGCAAGACUGGAGGGAAAGCCCGGGGCGUAACCCCGGAACUGCUUUGGAAACUGUGAUGCUGGAGUGCAGGAGGGGGAAGCGGAAUUCCGGGUGUAGCGGUGAAAUGCGUAGAUAUUAGGAGGAACACCGGUGGCGAAGGCGGCUUACUGGACUGUAACUGACGUUGAGGCUCGAAAGCGUGGGGAGCAAACAGGAUUAGAUACCCUUGUAGUC
RNAcentral lists this ribosomal RNA (438 nucleotides) under uncultured bacterium. RNAcentral's name for it is "partial 16S ribosomal RNA". It matches the Rfam family "Bacterial small subunit ribosomal RNA", at positions 338 to 795 of the family's 1533-position model. The record is from RNAcentral.